Molecule: ribosomal RNA, 873 nt
Filed under: uncultured bacterium
Lineage: Bacteria
Description: bacterial SSU rRNA
Rfam family: Bacterial small subunit ribosomal RNA
Source: RNAcentral
AGGAUGAACGCUAGCGGCAGGCUUAACACAUGCAAGUCGAGGGGCAGCGCAGGUAGCAAUACUGGGCGGCGACCGGCAAACGGGUGCGGAACACGUACAGAAUCUACCUUGAUCUGGGGCAUAGCCCGGAGAAAUCCGGAUUAACUCCCCAUAACAUAUAAGAGUGGCAUCACUUUAAUAUUAAAAAUUUAUUGGAUCGAGAUGACUGUGCGUCCCAUUAGCUAGUUGGUAGGGUAACGGCCUACCAAGGCGACGAUGGGUAGCUGGUGUGAGAGCACGACCAGCCACACGGGCACUGAGACACGGGCCCGACUCCUACGGGAGGCAGCAGUGAGGAAUAUUGGUCAAUGGACGCAAGUCUGAACCAGCCAUGCCGCGUGAAGGAUGAAGGCCUUCUGGGUUGUAAACUUCUUUUACCUGGGAAGAAACCCCUUAUAUCUAUGAGGGUUGACGGUACCAGAGGAAUAAGCACCGGCUAACUCCGUGCCAGCAGCCGCGGUAAUACGGAGGGUGCAAGCGUUAUCCGGAUUUACUGGGUUUAAAGGGUGUGUAGGCGGGUCUUUAAGUCAGUGGUGAAAUCUCCGAGCUCAACUUGGAAACUGCCAUUGAUACUAUUGAUCUUGAAUUUUGUUGAGGUAGGCGGAAUAAGUCAUGUAGCGGUGAAAUGCAUAGAUAUGACUUAGAACACCAAUUGCGAAGGCAGCUUGCUAAACAAAUAUUGACGCUGAGGCACGAAAGCGUGGGGAUCAAACAGGAUUAGAUACCCUGGUAGUCACGCCCUAAACGAUGAUUACUCGACAUACGCGAUACACAGUGUGUGUCUGAGCGAAAGCAUUAAGUAAUCAACCUGGGAAGUACGACCGCAAGGUUGAA